This is a non-coding RNA of Odocoileus virginianus texanus, 646 nucleotides long. The record is from RefSeq and is a predicted model, not a curated record. NCBI's taxonomy places the organism in Eukaryota, Metazoa, Chordata, Mammalia, Artiodactyla, Cervidae.
ACAAGACCUUAUGUUCAUGCAAGAUCACGUUCUAUAGUUGCAGGUGGACCUGAGUUUUGAGAGACAAGGCUGUUCACCCCAGUCCAUUGGGUCAAGUUGUUUCUGAAGUCUAUUGGCCAUGAACUGUGGCAUGUAGGAUCUUAGUUUUCCUGACCAGAGAGGGAACCUGCACUUCCCGCAUGGAGAGGUGGAGCCUCUGGCCACUGGGGUCAAGUUCCUGAGACAGCUCUUUAAGGACCAAAACAUUCCUGUUUAGGGUAAUUCCCAGAAUUCUAUAAAACCUAAGUGGAGGGGAUCAGAGAUGCAAGUAUUGAAAGUUGUUUGGAAUCAAAGAGAUGAAAGUUCUUGUCAGAGGCCUGGGGAAUCAGGAAGUCUAUUGACAAUCGUGAAUCGUUUACAUGAAAAUUGAGAAAUGGACAUUUCCCAACACCUAGCAAAGAGGAGGAGAUUGCUUUUGGGAACACAGAGAGCCAGGGUGGUUAAACGAAGACUAAAGCUUAGGGGCUCUGGCUUCAGUCUGGUCAGCAGGGAUCGUAGCAUCACAUACGGCCGUGUGUCUCACCUUGCCCCUGAACUUUGACAGUAAAUAUUUGACUGAUUUGACUGGUGAGGAGGACCUGAACAGUAAAUAUUUUACAAGGGGAAA